RNAcentral lists this unclassified non-coding RNA (343 nucleotides) under soil metagenome. Its description in RNAcentral is "partial contains 5.8S ribosomal RNA, internal transcribed spacer 2, and large subunit ribosomal RNA". The stretch from base 1 to 120 matches the Rfam family "5.8S ribosomal RNA", at positions 35 to 154 of the family's 154-position model. The record is from RNAcentral.
GAUGAAGAACGCAGCGAAAUGCGAUAAGUAAUGUGAAUUGCAGAAUUCAGUGAAUCAUCGAAUCUUUGAACGCACAUUGUGCCCGCCAGUAUUCUGGCGGGCAUGCCUGUUCGAGCGUCAUUUCAACCCUCAAGCCCCCGGGCUUGGUGUUGGGGAUCGGCGUGCCCUCGCGGCGCGCCGUCCCCUAAAUCUAGUGGCGGUCUCGCUGCAGCCUCCCCUGCGUAGUAGCACACCUCGCACUGGAGAGCGGCGCGGCCACGCCGUGAAACCCCCAACUUCUGAAUGUUGACCUCGGAUCAGGUAGGAAUACCCGCUGAACUUAAGCAUAUCAAUAAGCGGAGGA